UAACAAGGAUUCCCCUAGUAACUGCGAGUGAAGCGGGAAAAGCUCAAAUUUAAAAUCUGGCGGCUUUGGUCGUCCGAGUUGUAUUCUAGAGAAGCGUUUUCCGCGUUGGACCGUGUACAAGUCUCUUGGAAUAGAGCGUCAUAGAGGGUGAGAAUCCCGUCUUUGACACGGACUACCAGUGCUUUGUGAUGCGCUCUCAAAGAGUCGAGUUGUUUGGGAAUGCAGCUCAAAAUGGGUGGUAAAUUCCAUCUAAAGCUAAAUAUUGGCGAGAGACCGAUAGCGAACAAGUACCGUGAGGGAAAGAUGAAAAGCACUUUGGAAAGAGAGUUAAACAGUACGUGAAAUUGCUGAAAGGGAAACGCUUGAAGUCAGUCGCGUUAGCUACAACUCAGCCAGGCUUGCUUGGUGCAUUUUGUAGUUGACGGGCCAGCAUCAGUUUUGACCGCAGGAAAAAGGCCAGGGAAAUGUGGCACCUUCGGGUGUGUUAUAGUCCUUGGUUGUAUACUGUGAUUGGGACUGAGGCUCUCAGCACGCUUUUGUUGUGCUUAGGAUGCUGGCGUAAUGGCUUUAAACGACCCGUCUUGAAACACGGACCAAGGAGUCUAACAAACCUGCGAGUGUUUGGGUGGUAAACCCGAGCGCGCAAUGAAAGUGAAAGUUGGGAUCCCUGUCGUGGGGAGCACCGACGCCCGGACCAGACCUUCUGUGACGGAUCUGCGGUAGAGCAUGUUUGUUGGGACCCGAAAGAUGGUGAACUAUGCCUGAAUAGGGUGAAGCCAGAGGAAACUCUGGUGGAGGCUCGUAGCGAUUCUGACGUGCAAAUCGAUCGUCAAAUUUGGG
RNAcentral lists this ribosomal RNA (840 nucleotides) under Byssomerulius corium. RNAcentral describes it as "partial large subunit ribosomal RNA". It matches the Rfam family "Eukaryotic large subunit ribosomal RNA", at positions 66 to 915 of the family's 3401-position model. Lineage: Eukaryota; Fungi; Basidiomycota; Agaricomycetes; Polyporales; Irpicaceae. The record is from RNAcentral.